Long non-coding RNA from Patella vulgata (common limpet), 2426 nucleotides. RefSeq lists it as uncharacterized. The record is from RefSeq and is a predicted model, not a curated record. Lineage: Eukaryota; Metazoa; Mollusca; Gastropoda; Patellidae. The transcript is spliced from 13 exons.
CUUCAUUAUACAACAUGUAGGCCUAGAUAUUCUAGACUAAUUGAUUGUAAAGUGGUUCCGGUUUGAAAUGGGCAAAAGGAGUUAGGAGUGUUGUCCCAAAUCGAAGCUAUCCGAGUGAUGAAAUUUCGGUUACAGGAAGGGUCGGCACAGAGAUUCCGCUGGACCUGAAUUCCGAGCAGUUCGAUCAGUUCCUUUGGGUACUAUUUCCUCUCUUGGGGACAGUGCCAAUUGAUAUGCUCUAUGCGACAAAAUCAAAAAUUCUCUUCCCCUUUGCUGAACGCACACCCAUGGGUAUCAAGACAUUCUUCAAAACCAAUAAGCAUGUGUGCAGUGUGUACCUGAGGCCACAUGUCAAGUUGACAGUUAUUCGGAUGCUGUUCUUUAUACUGGGUGCAAAUUUGAUUCUGCUUUUGCCAGUACUUCCACUGCCAGAAGGCCAAACCGUCCAGCCCUUGUAACGUCAACACGUACAUGUACUUCCACCAUUAGUCGGCCGCCUCAACUAUCAACUGAAGACACAGCACCAAAUCAGUCAGCUUCAGCAAUACCUACUUUUAGUCAGCCAAAUCGUCCAGCCCUGGUUAUGUCACCUAAUCAGUCAGCUUCAGCAAUACCUACUUCUAGUCAGCCAAAUCGUCCAGCCUUAGUUACGUCACCUAAUCAGGGGGAAACCCAGUUCACAUAUGAACCAGCUGAUACACCAACAGUGUUAUUACGAAGACCCAGAAGAGGAGUUACAUCUGUGACACAAAAUCUCCUGUCAGCUGUAGCUACAGACCAUUUGGUUAGUAUUUCUUAGCUGACUAGUAUUAGGGUUGGAUGAAAAGUUAUGAGGCUAAUUUAAGCGAAAGUGAUGAGUGAUCCCAGAUUAAUGCCAGAUAAACUUGGAUGGAGAUAUUUCAUCAGAGUUUACCCCAAUGGUUCCUGAUCCAGAUGAAGGGCAGAUAUUGGAUGUCACACCCCAUGAUGAUGCUGACCUGAUAGCUGCCCUCGCGGAGUCCCUGAGAAGUGAACCGGAAGUCAAGUCAGCAGAGGAUUUAAUUGUCAGCUUCAUAAUGGCAACGAGAGAACCAACUGGAGACAAAAAACAGUCGGUUAUCAUCAGAAGAUCUGCUGUGUGGAAAAGUUCUCUCCGUGCAACAAGGGGCACUUUUCACUUUUCCUGGAUUCCUCGGGUGAGGUUUGCUGGUGAGGAGGCCGAGGAUUAUGGAGGUCCCACCCGUGAGUUUUUUCGCCUUUGAUGGAGGACAUCCUCAAGAAUAGCGGUCUUUUGGGGGGCCAUGACGAGAAGAAAUCCUUCCUUCUCGAUAACGAGGCGGCUGACAGCAACCAAUAUUUCAAGGCUGGUCAGUUCGUGUCCUGGAGCCUCUUACAUGGUGGAAAUGGACUGCAAUACCUAAGUCCAUCAGUAUGGCAUCUAAUGACGAGGAUGGAUGUGGAGGGCGAUUCUGAUGAUAUCAGUGAAAUCCCGGAUGCCACAGCUUAUAUCAACCUCGAUAAGGGUCCGUGCUGGGGUGGAUCAAUUUAUAAAAGGGAUGGAUAGUAUUGGCGAGUUAUUCACCAAAUACAUAAUGAGGAACCCCAGGGAUUUUAAAUCCAUAAUGGCGUCAUCUGACAGAAAGCUGACUUUUGAGCAGCUUUUUCGAAUAUGAAAAGUCUAAUGUCGAAGGGCUGAGGGAGAUGGAGGACAACACGAUUUACUUGUUUGAACAAUUCUUAGUGGAGUUAGAAAAUGGGGCAGCGGAGACAGACGUUACUCUAAGAAACAUUCUGACAUUUAUGACCGGGGCUGAUACCAUCCCUCCCAAUGGAUUCGGAAAACAGAUAACGAUUUGAUCGGGAGAAGGACAAGCGCCUUCCCUAUGCAUCCACCUGUGCAUUGGACUUUUUUCUACCGAGAGGCUUGGAUAUGGACAAGUCUGAAGAGUUCGAGUCACAAAUGAACCUUGCGAUCAAACUUGGAUUGGCUGCUGGGUUUGGAAAAUGUUAGGUCCUGGUUGGGAUUCCUCCCUGAUGUAACCAGCAGUGUUUGAGAUGUGGUCAAGUUCAAUCAAAACUUCGAAAGUAUGUUCAAUAGAAGCAAUGUUUUUGAGAUUUUUUGUGAUUUUUUAUGGGGAUUACGACUUUUCAGAUGAUGGGUCGGAACACAGAAGUGACAAUUAUUUUUGUGACGAUAGUUUUGUGCCUGAUUUUGAUGGUUAUUUGGAUGACUGUCAUGGAGUGAGCCCUGGCCUAACUGUAAUAUGUAAUCCGAAAUUAAUGAAGAAGUCUGAAGUGGUGAUUUUUGCAUGUCAAGUUCAGGGCAACGGUACCGAGUCAUCCGUGACCCCAGAAAUGCAACCAUGAUAUGCUUGGGACGGUCAUAGCCUCUACCUUACGAUGCAAAUGCUCAUUUAGCUGGGGAAUACAUAUUCUUUAAACAUUAA